UGCAAGUCGAGCGGUACAGGGGUAGCUUGCUACCCGCUGACGAGCGGCGGACGGGUGAGUAACGCAUAGGAAUUUACCCGGUAGUGGGGGAUAACCUGGGGAAACCCAGGCUAAUACCGCAUACGUCCUACGGGAGAAAGGGGGCUUUGGCUCCCGCUAUCGGAUGAGCCUAUGCCGGAUUAGCUAGUUGGUGAGGUAAUGGCUCACCAAGGCGACGAUCCGUAGCUGGUCUGAGAGGAUGAUCAGCCACAUCGGGACUGAGACACGGCCCGAACUCCUACGGGAGGCAGCAGUGGGGAAUAUUGGACAAUGGGGGCAACCCUGAUCCAGCCAUGCCGCGUGUGUGAAGAAGGCCCUCGGGUUGUAAAGCACUUUCAGCGAGGAAGAACGCCUGUCGGUUAAUACCCGGCAGGAAAGACAUCACUCGCAGAAGAAGCACCGGCUAACUCCGUGCCAGCAGCCGCGGUAAUACGGAGGGUGCAAGCGUUAAUCGGAAUUACUGGGCGUAAAGCGCGCGUAGGUGGCUUGAUAAGCCGGUUGUGAAAGCCCCGGGCUCAACCUGGGAACGGCAUCCGGAACUAUCAGGCUAGAGUGCAGGAGAGGAAGGUAGAAUUCCCGGUGUAGCGGUGAAAUGCGUAGAGAUCGGGAGGAAUACCAGUGGCGAAGGCGGCCUUCUGGACUGACACUGACACUGAGGUGCGAAAGCGUGGGUAGCAAACAGGAUUAGAUACCCUGGUAGUCCACGCCGUAAACGAUGUCGACCAGCCGUUGGGUGCCUAGCGCACUUUGUGGCGAAGUUAACGCGAUAAGUCGACCGCCUGGGGAGUACGGCCGCAAGGUUAAAACUCAAAUGAAUUGACGGGGGCCCGCACAAGCGGUGGAGCAUGUGGUUUAAUUCGAUGCAACGCGAAGAACCUUACCUACCCUUGACAUCCUGCGAACUUGUGAGAGAUCACUUGGUGCCUUCGGGAGCGCAGAGACAGGUGCUGCAUGGCUGUCGUCAGCUCGUGUUGUGAAAUGUUGGGUUAAGUCCCGUAACGAGCGCAACCCUUGUCC
RNAcentral lists this ribosomal RNA (1056 nucleotides) under Halomonas sp. Its description in RNAcentral is "bacterial SSU rRNA". It matches the Rfam family "Bacterial small subunit ribosomal RNA", at positions 56 to 1110 of the family's 1533-position model. The record is from RNAcentral. Lineage: Bacteria; Pseudomonadati; Pseudomonadota; Gammaproteobacteria; Oceanospirillales; Halomonadaceae.